UAAGGUUAAGUUAAUAAGGGCGCACGGUGGAUGCCUUGGCACUAGAAGCCGAAGAAGGACGUGACUAACGACGAAAUGCUUUGGGGAGCUGUAAGUAAGCGCUGAUCCAGAGAUGUCCGAAUGGGGGAACCCACUAGUUAAUGACUAGUAUCCAUAUCUGUUAAGGAUAUGAGAAGGAAGACGCAGUGAACUGAAACAUCUAAGUAGCUGCAGGAAGAGAAAGCAAAAGCGAUUGCCUUAGUAGCGGCGAGCGAAACGGCAGGAGGGCAAACCGAAGUGUUUACACUUCGGGGUUGUAGGACUGCGAUAUAGGAUUAAUCAUUAUAGAAGAAUUACCUGGGAAGGUAAGCCAAAGAGAGUAACAGCCUCGUAUUUAAAAUGAUAGAUUAACCUUAGCAGUAUCCUGAGUACGGCGAGACACGCGAAAUCUCGUCGGAAUCUGGGAGGACCAUCUCCCAACCCUAAAUACUCUCUAGUGACCGAUAGUGAACCAGUACCGUGAGGGAAAGGUGAAAAGCACCCCGGGAGGGGAGUGAAAUAGAACCUGAAACCGUGUGCCUACAACAAGUUCGAGCCCGUUAAUGGGUGAGAGCGUGCCUUUUGUAGAAUGAACCGGCGAGUUACGAUAUGAUGCGAGGUUAAGUUGAAGAGACGGAGCCGUAGGGAAACCGAGUCUUAAUAGGGCGUCAUAGUAUCAUGUUGUAGACCCGAAACCAUGUGACCUACCCAUGAGCAGGUUGAAGGUGAGGUAAAACUCACUGGAGGACCGAACCAGGGCACGUUGAAAAGUGCUUGGAUGACUUGUGGGUAGCGGAGAAAUUCCAAACGAACUUGGAGAUAGCUGGUUCUCUCCGAAAUAGCUUUAGGGCUAGCGUCGAUGUUAAGUCUCUUGGAGGUAGAGCACUGUUUGGGUGAGGGGUCCAUCCCGGAUUACCAAUCUCAGAUAAACUCCGAAUGCCAACGAGAUAUAAUCGGCAGUCAGACUGCGAG
Molecule: ribosomal RNA, 990 nt
Filed under: Streptococcus agalactiae
Lineage: Bacteria; Bacillati; Bacillota; Bacilli; Lactobacillales; Streptococcaceae
Description: bacterial LSU rRNA
Rfam family: Bacterial large subunit ribosomal RNA
Source: RNAcentral